UGUGUACAUGACUGUAAAUCACCUUGGAUUAAAGUGUCUGCUAAAUGGCAUAAA
Salmo salar (Atlantic salmon) is the source of this 54-nucleotide non-coding RNA. NCBI's taxonomy places the organism in Eukaryota, Metazoa, Chordata, Actinopteri, Salmoniformes, Salmonidae. The record is from Rfam.